GGGAUCUCUGCUGUUACGUGACACUUCCUACGGCUCCCAUGGGCUCUCAGAAGGCGGCAAAAAGCUGAAUCAUGGCUUUGCAGGCUCUGGCUGAAAAAAAGUAGCGCGUUUGGAUAGUGGCUGGUCACAGUACUGUGAGACUCAGGCUCGUGCACGAGGGGAUCCCAUGCUUUUAUUUUCUCUCUCUUUGUACGUAUACACGCUUUCCCGGUCGGAAUAUUAUCGCUUUUUUACGAGAAAAAUGGCAUAAUAAUUGAUUUUAAACUGCGGUUGACAUGCUUUGAAGUACGGUAAUGGAAUAUUUAGAAAUCUUUUGUCACGAAAUGAGUCGUGCUCGUGACCCUUAUUUACACUUCGGAUAGUGUCUUGAACCCACGAACAAAACGCCGCUAUUUGGAUAUAACAAUGGAUUAUUUUGAACCAAACCAACAUUUUUUAUUGAAGUAGCAGUCCUGGGAGUGCAUUCUGACGAAGAACACCAAAGAACCACCUGCAACUGGAAACGGACGUUUAAGAUAACUGGUUUCCAGAAUUGGGAACCAAGAGAGUACAGCCAAUACCAGGUCGGUGGUUCCUGGUUCGAAGAGCCGACAUCCUGGACCUCAACAUUGUCCAGGAUUUCCAUCUCCACCGUCCGGACCGGCCCGCUCUUCAUCCUGGGGCCGUCCUCCUGGCCGGCAUCAUUGGGAGGGGGUACUGUCACACCUACUCCCGCUCCCUCUCUCCAACGCUCAAAUUUGCCGGUUUACUAACCACUGGCCCUGGCAACCAUUAUUACGCACACCUGCUCCCCAUCAUUACACACACCUGCUCCCCAUCAUUACGCACACCUGGACUUCAUCAUCACCUUUAUUACCUUCCCUUUAUUUAGCCCUCAGUAGCCUCAGUCAUUAGGCAGUAUUGAUUUGUUUUCAUGUUCAGUAUGCAUCCCCUAUUUUGUUCAUUUGCCUUGCAACGUUGUUAUUAAACUCUCCUUCUGCACCUGCUUCCUGACUCCCUGCAUAUACAUGACCGUAUGUAAAUGUUAUGUUUACAGUUUACCGGAACUAUUCGUUUGCCAUAGCUAAUAUCUAGGUUUAUUGUUAGUUAAAAAAUUAUAACGAUGCUUCAAAUGGGGGAAAGGGUCUUAGAACAUAGAAAGCCCUUGAAGUGUGUGCUCUGCUCUCUGUUGCUUUGACCAACUCUUAGAUUGAGCCCAACUUUAUAACCUAAUGUUUUCAUUAUAAGUGCAAACAAAGUUUUGGAGACAAUGAGACGAAGCCCCUUCAGACUUUUGGGAGUGACAGUCUUACUGUAUGCUUAAACCGGUGUUGCAAAAGGCCUGUGACAUACCUAGCAUUCCUUUUCUUUGUGAUAAGUGACAUCACUUUUUGACUAAAUGAUGUGUCAUGCUUAGUUUGUUGUUGUUGUUUUAAACCAAAGCAUAUAGGCCUAGCUAUAAAUCCUUACCCUGACAGUAGACCUAGUCUAUGGGUCAGGAGAGAUUCCAUGGUUCAGAUCAGGAGAAUUGACAUUUUGAGUCAUUUUCAUAGCAUCAAAAAAGGACAAAUGUUCCUGUAAUUGCUUUCAUCUCAACUGUUGCUAGUCAGCAGCAACCCUAAUGAACUGUUGUUAGCCAGCAGCAAUCCUUAUGAACUGUUAGUCAGCAGCAACCCUUAUGAACUGUUGUUAGUCAGCUGCAACACUUAUGAACUGUUAGUCAGCAGCAACCCUUAUGAACUGUUGUUAGUCAGCUGCAACCCUUAUGAACUGUUGCUAGUCAGCAGCAACCCUUAUGAACUGUUAGUCAGCAGCAACCCUUAUGAACUGUUGCUAGUCAGCAGCAACCCUUAUGAACUGUUGCUAGUCAGCUGCAACCCUCACUCAUUCAAAGUGACCUUGUUUAAGCAGAAGGGCCAACUUCAGGAGUAAACGUUAUUCAUAAUAAGGCUUACACACAUAGAGAAAAUCGGACAUCUCUGAAAUGAAAAUGGAUGUCACUACCUUCAGCAAUUUAUUUUUUACCUAAACCUUCCCUGAACUCUUGAGAAAAAACAAGUGACACUCCCAUAUACCCCCCAAAAAUUAUUAAAACAAAGUGUAUACAGAGAACAUCCUUACAGUUUACCCUCACCUCUUGGAGACACCAGAGCCUUAGAUAUGUCGUUUUAGAAACUGUUCUUCAUCCUGUCAGCAUUACAUGGCAACGCAUAAAUUAUGAUAGCGUACAGGGCUGCGGGCCAGAAGUUUGUGUGUUCACAGACCCCCAUGGACAAGAGUAAGGGUGGAAAGAUCUCAUUUAUAGUAAAGGCAUUGCAUGAAUCUAUCAACAUAUUUGCAGGCCCGAGAAAAAUGUGCCUCUAUAAACAUUUCAUGCAAAUAUUUUUUAAUACUACACAAAUUGCUCAAAUUACAGGCUAAGAAUGGACAUAGAGAUAGGCCUAUGUGUUCAUCCUAUCCAAUGACGACCUGUCAUUCAGGGCAGCUUUGUUAAUCAUGUUUAGCAUUUAUUUGAGCCUCACCUGUUUUGCAUGCUAUUUUGGCAUUAAUACGUGUCACAUAUCAGUUUGCAAACAAUGUACAAAAAAAUUACUAAAUGAGUUAAUAAAGACGCAUACAACAUGG
RNAcentral lists this long non-coding RNA (2604 nucleotides) under Salmo salar (Atlantic salmon). Its description in RNAcentral is "lncRNA (ENSSSAG00000097097.1, ENSSSAG00000106698.1)". The record is from RNAcentral. Lineage: Eukaryota; Metazoa; Chordata; Actinopteri; Salmoniformes; Salmonidae.